Molecule: transfer RNA, 73 nt
Filed under: Cordylochernes scorpioides
Lineage: Eukaryota; Metazoa; Arthropoda; Arachnida; Pseudoscorpiones; Chernetidae
Description: tRNA-Thr
Source: RNAcentral
GUCCAGGGAUUGGAAACGAACCCAGCGUGAUCUGCUUACCAGGCCGAUGCCAUGUCCACUACGCUACCCUGGA